Cajanus cajan (pigeon pea) is the source of this 1908-nucleotide non-coding RNA. The record is from RefSeq and is a predicted model, not a curated record. NCBI's taxonomy places the organism in Eukaryota, Viridiplantae, Streptophyta, Magnoliopsida, Fabales, Fabaceae.
UUAUGACCGAUGUAGAAGUGAGACCCUAAUAUUCCCGCGACCACCCUGGGACCAUCCCACCCUUUCCCUCAUCAGCAACGUUCCCAGCCGCCGUGAGCAGCGACGGAGAGCGAACUCCGUUGAUCACCAUCGACUGACCGAUCUGUUUGCACACACUCUUCUCCCUACUUGUUAAUCACCAUCGACUGACCGAACCGUUUUCGCUUCGCCCUCCGCCGCGAGCAACGACGGUGAUCGAACCUGGUUGACAAAGUUCUGACCCUCUUCGACGAACAGCGUUAGACGCUCUCGGAGGAGGUCUCUGAAACGUGGUGGUCGUCUUGGUGAAGUUCGUCGUCGACGACAGCAUUUGCAGCAUUUGCUGACGUGUUUGAGGUUGGUGGAAUCAGUUGAGAGUGCCCUCAUUUUGUCUUUAGCUUUGGGUGGUUUCUCUGUCUUUGGUGUAUUUGGUUGAUAACUUUUGUCGCAUAAGCAUUUGAUCGGGAGAUCAAUCUUCAGUCCAACUUCAGCAAUCACAAUCUUUGGUUUGUUUAGAAAGUGCCCCAUCAGUCUUCGAAAAUCCAAUCAAGAAACAGGUGUUGCUGUUUGCAACUUCAAAUGAUUCAGAGAAGUUAAUCUCAGUAUUUCAAGAAGCAGCAAAACCUUUUAAGGGAUAGACUCUAACCUUGGGCAUAAAUAUUGAAGCUACUACUGGGGACCAUAAAAAGGUUUGGGACCAUUAAUUAGAUGGACGUGGCAAGGACACAAACGGGGUCUCUAGAGUUUUAUAUCUUACCAGGGAAUGGGUACAUGGGAAACACAAGGGUAAAAGUCCUUGUGAUGAGUAUAAUAUUGACCCUGAUGAAUGGGAGAAAUUCAAAGAAAUUUGGAAUGACCCUUCUUGGAAGCUUAUAAGAAAAAAAGCGCAGGAUAUCCAGAAACUCAAUGAUUCACCCCACCUAUUGUCUCGUGGGGGUUAUGAGCUACUUGUGAGAAAUUUUAUGAAAAGAGAACUUAAACGACUUAAGGAGGUAGCAAUACAAUCUGGUGCUAGUGAGGAUGUAGUGAUUGAUCCUCCACAUCCUCCUCCACGCCAUAGGUUGUGGAAGAUGGCUUGCACAAAAAGCUCUGGAGAGAUGACUUCUGAGUUUGCUAAUCAAAUUGCAGAAAAAAUUGAGCAAGAAUCACAAGGUUCAUUUAUUCCUAAAGGCCGUCAAGAUAUAUUAAAUAUUGCCUUGGACGACCAGAGCAUCCUGGUCGUGUUCGUACAAUUGGGGUUGGUGCUACUAUUGGUAAUUACUUUGGACCAUUAUCACAGGGGUCAUCCUUAUCUAGAUUGAGCCCACAGGAUCUUGAAGCCCUCACACAACAAAUAUAUGUACGGGUCACACAAAAUUUAAUGGCAAAGUACCCGAAUAUGAGUACUACACAGUCACAGGAUGUUCCUCCAGUUGAGGUAGAUCAUGGUAUCGUGGCCCGUGUUAGCACUAAAGGCUGUUGUCCAACUCCUUCAAGUGCUAUUGUUGCUGGUAAUCCCUUUGGAGAUGAGCUUCAUGCUGAUAUCUCUAAUAAGUGUGAGUUAUGCAUUGAGGGGAUUCCUCCACUUGUAGUGGCCAUUGGGAGAGUUUGUGAGGGGGGUUCAACUAUACACAAUGUGCCUUUGACAAAUGAUUUGGUCAAGGUGGUGAUUGAGGAAGUUCGAGAUUCUAAUGCUCGAGUUCCCAGACCUACUUCAGAGGUUCAGCUGGUUGGGCAGGCCUUACAAACUUUCAUUGCAUGGCCGAGAUAUCUUGUUAGACCUAUUUCAACCACGGAUAUUCAUCGAGCAAAUAAACGAGUUCCAUCUAUUGAUAGGUCGGAACCCAAUGGUGAUCCUAUCAUUAGGUUACGUGAGGCAUCAAAGUGCUUACUUUAUGGACAAUCAUUUCA